ACUAAAUUUCUAACCAUGGCCUCAAAGUACCAGUUUCAAAUUUGAGUGCUGUAGUAACUACAUAAAUUAAGGUGUGGGCACUUGAGCUCCUGCUGGCACCUUCUCCAGCUGUGCUGUACCCUGCUCCCCUUCAGACGUGUCCAGCACUGAGGGAAGCAGGUCCU
Long non-coding RNA from Nothoprocta perdicaria, 164 nucleotides. RefSeq lists it as uncharacterized. The transcript is spliced from 2 exons. NCBI's taxonomy places the organism in Eukaryota, Metazoa, Chordata, Aves, Tinamiformes, Tinamidae. The record is from RefSeq and is a predicted model, not a curated record.